RNAcentral lists this long non-coding RNA (801 nucleotides) under Helianthus annuus (common sunflower). Its description in RNAcentral is "sRNA HanXRQr2_Chr15g0710681". Lineage: Eukaryota; Viridiplantae; Streptophyta; Magnoliopsida; Asterales; Asteraceae. The record is from RNAcentral.
UUUUCUUCAUCCUCAUUCCAAACAUCAUCAAAUACAAUAAGAAACCUCUUAUUGUGUAAGAUAUGCCAAAACUUGGACUGGAUUACAUCCAUCUCUGAUCUUCUCCACAUCAAAAGUUUGAGAAACAAAAAGCCACAAUCUCAAAUCAAAGUGUUUAACCACCUUAUCAUCGAAAUAUGCCAACUGGGCAAGAGUAGUCUUACCCAUGCCUCCAAUGCCAACUAUAGAAACUGCUGGAAGGAAGGUUUCCUUCCACAUCAACAUUUAAUAGCAACUCUACAAUCCUUUCCUUAUCCUUGCCCCUUCCAAAUACUUCAGAUUCAACAACAAAAGAUCCAGUAGCCGGUUCUUCAUCCAAAACCACGUUAGCACCAUGAACAGCUUCUUUCAGAUUCAGAUAUGGAUCUGAGUGACAACCAUUUCUUAGGCAUGUCGUAUUUUUCUUCCAGUAGCAGAUAGGGGUGUGCUUUGUUUGUGAAGUCUUCAAGAAAGUCAACUGCUUGGUCAACUGUAUCUUUGAGCUGCGAAAUCCAUAUUCUAACAACUUUGUCGGUAACUUGUCGCCUUUCAGCAUUUUCGACAACAGCUUGGAUCAUGGGGAGGAUCUGUUCUAUCCUCAUAAGGCCACAUUUUUGACCAAGUGUUUGAAGCAGAGGAGAAGCCAGCUUUUCAAAGAUCACCUGCAGAAGUGGAGGUAAUACCAAUUCUGCCAUAGUUUUGUUUCUUACUUUAUUGAUGGAAUCAGAACAACUGGCACCACAGCAGAAGUUUAAUGCAGUCUUCUUCUCCCAAUUGUAAUUA